This 267-nucleotide ribosomal RNA is filed under the name uncultured bacterium. Its description in RNAcentral is "partial 16S ribosomal RNA". It matches the Rfam family "Bacterial small subunit ribosomal RNA", at positions 793 to 1055 of the family's 1533-position model. The record is from RNAcentral.
GUCCACGCCGUAAACGAUGAGUGCUAGGUGUCACGGGCUUUGACCCUCGUGGUGCCGAAGCUAACGCGUUAAGCACUCCGCCUGGGGAGUACGGCCGCAAGGCUAAAACUCAAAGGAAUUGACGGGGGCCCCGCACAAGCGGUGGAGCAUGUUGUUUAAUUCGACGCAACGCGAAGAACCUUACCUGGGCUAGAAAGUACAGGAAUCCCGGCGAAAGUUGGGAGUGCCCUUCGGGGAACCUGUGGUUAGGUGCUGCAUGGCUGUCGU